AGAAGCGCAUACGGUGGAUGCCUUGGCAGUCAGAGGCGAUGAAAGACGUGGUAGCCUGCGAAAAGCUUCGGGGAGUCGGCAAACAGACUUUGAUCCGGAGAUGUCUGAAUGGGGGAACCCAGCCAUCAUAAGAUGGUUAUCUUGUACUGAAUACAUAGGUGCAAGAGGCGAACCAGGGGAACUGAAACAUCUAAGUACCCUGAGGAAAAGAAAUCAACCGAGAUUCCCUUAGUAGUGGCGAGCGAACGGGGACUAGCCCUUAAGUGGCUUUGAGAUUAGCGGAACGCUCUGGAAAGUGCGGCCAUAGUGGGUGAUAGCCCUGUACGCGAAAAUCUCUUAGUCAUGAAAUCGAGUAGGACGGAGCACGAGAAACUUUGUCUGAAUAUGGGGGGACCAUCCUCCAAGGCUAAAUACUACUGACUGACCGAUAGUGAACUAGUACCGUGAGGGAAAGGCGAAAAGAACCCCGGAGAGGGGAGUGAAAUAGAUCCUGAAACCGUAUGCGUACAAGCAGUGGGAGCCUACUUUGUUAGGUGACUGCGUACCUUUUGUAUAAUGGGUCAGCGACUUAUUUUCAGUGGCGAGCUUAACCGAAUAGGGGAGGCGUAGCGAAAGCGAGUCUUAAUAGGGCGUCUAGUCGCUGGGAAUAGACCCGAAACCGGGCGAUCUAUCCAUGGGCAGGUUGAAGGUUGGGUAACACUAACUGGAGGACCGAACCGACUACCGUUGAAAAGUUAGCGGAUGACCUGUGGAUCGGAGUGAAAGGCUAAUCAAGCUCGGAGAUAGCUGGUUCUCCUCGAAAGCUAUUUAGGUAGCGCCUCAUGUAUCACUGUAGGGGGUAGAGCACUGUUUCGGCUAGGGGGUCAUCCCGACUUACCAAACCGAUGCAAACUCCGAAUACCUACAAGUGCCGAGCAUGGGAGACACACGGCGGGUGCUAACGUCCGUCGUGAAAAGGGAAACAACCCAGACCGUCAGCUAAGGUCCCAAAGUUAUGGUUAAGUGGGAAACGAUGUGGGAAGGCUUAGACAGCUAGGAGGUUGGCUUAGAAGCAGCCACCCUUUAAAGAAAGCGUAAUAGCUCACUAGUCGAGUCGGCCUGCGCGGAAGAUGUAACGGGGCUCAAACCAUACACCGAAGCUACGGGUAUCACGUAAGUGAUGCGGUAGAGGAGCGUUCUGUAAGCCUGUGAAGGUGAGUUGAGAAGCUUGCUGGAGGUAUCAGAAGUGCGAAUGCUGACAUGAGUAACGACAAUGGGUGUGAAAAACACCCACGCCGAAAGACCAAGGUUUCCUGCGCAACGUUAAUCGACGCAGGGUUAGUCGGUCCCUAAGGCGAGGCUGAAAAGCGUAGUCGAUGGAAAACAGGUUAAUAUUCCUGUACUUCUGGUUAUUGCGAUGGAGGGACGGAGAAGGCUAGGCCAGCUUGGCGUUGGUUGUCCAAGUUUAAGGUGGUAGGCUGAGAUCUUAGGUAAAUCCGGGAUCUUAAGGCCGAGAGCUGAUGACGAGCUAACUUUUAGUUAGCGAAGUGGUUGAUGCCAUGCUUCCAAGAAAAGCUUCUAAGCUUCAGGUAACCAGGAACCGUACCCCAAACCGACACAGGUGGUUGGGUAGAGAAUACCAAGGCGCUUGAGAGAACUCGGGUGAAGGAACUAGGCAAAAUGGCACCGUAACUUCGGGAGAAGGUGCGCCGGUGAGGGUGAAGGACUUGCUCCGUAAGCUCAUGCCGGUCGAAGAUACCAGGCCGCUGCGACUGUUUAUUAAAAACACAGCACUCUGCAAACACGAAAGUGGACGUAUAGGGUGUGACGCCUGCCCGGUGCCGGAAGGUUAAUUGAUGGGGUUAGCUAACGCGAAGCUCUUGAUCGAAGCCCCGGUAAACGGCGGCCGUAACUAUAACGGUCCUAAGGUAGCGAAAUUCCUUGUCGGGUAAGUUCCGACCUGCACGAAUGGCGUAACGAUGGCGGCGCUGUCUCCACCCGAGACUCAGUGAAAUUGAAAUCGCUGUGAAGAUGCAGUGUAUCCGCGGCUAGACGGAAAGACCCCGUGAACCUUUACUAUAGCUUUGCACUGGACUUUGAAUUUGCUUGUGUAGGAUAGGUGGGAGGCUUUGAAGCGUGGACGCCAGUUCGCGUGGAGCCAUCCUUGAAAUACCACCCUGGCAACUUUGAGGUUCUAACUCAGGUCCGUUAUCCGGAUCGAGGACAGUGUAUGGUGGGUAGUUUGACUGGGGCGGUCUCCUCCUAAAGAGUAACGGAGGAGUACGAAGGUGCGCUCAGACCGGUCGGAAAUCGGUCGUAGAGUAUAAAGGCAAAAGCGCGCUUGACUGCGAGACAGACACGUCGAGCAGGUACGAAAGUAGGUCUUAGUGAUCCGGUGGUUCUGUAUGGAAGGGCCAUCGCUCAACGGAUAAAAGGUACUCCGGGGAUAACAGGCUGAUACCGCCCAAGAGUUCAUAUCGACGGCGGUGUUUGGCACCUCGAUGUCGGCUCAUCACAUCCUGGGGCUGAAGCCGGUCCCAAGGGUAUGGCUGUUCGCCAUUUAAAGUGGUACGCGAGCUGGGUUUAGAACGUCGUGAGACAGUUCGGUCCCUAUCUGCCGUGGACGUUUGAGAUUUGAGAGGGGCUGCUCCUAGUACGAGAGGACCGGAGUGGACGAACCUCUGGUGUUCCGGUUGUCACGCCAGUGGCAUUGCCGGGUAGCUAUGUUCGGAAUAGAUAACCGCUGAAAGCAUCUAAGCGGGAAACUAGCCUCAAGAUGAGAUCUCACUGGAACCUUGAGUUCCCUGAAGGGCCGUCGAAGACUACGACGUUGAUAGGUUGGGUGUGUAAGCGCUGUGAGGCGUUGAGCUAACCAAUACUAAUUGCCCGUGAGGCUUGACC
Molecule: ribosomal RNA, 2880 nt
Filed under: Pseudomonas simiae
Lineage: Bacteria; Pseudomonadati; Pseudomonadota; Gammaproteobacteria; Pseudomonadales; Pseudomonadaceae
Description: bacterial LSU rRNA
Rfam family: Bacterial large subunit ribosomal RNA
Source: RNAcentral